AUCUUUGCGCUUGGGGCAAUGACGCAGCUAAUGAGGUUCUAACCGAGGCGCGUCUAUUGCUGGUUGAAAACUAUUUCCAAACCCCCUCUUAGGCCCGGGUUUCACCCGGGCCUUCGAGAAUUUCUGGAAGGGCUAUACCGAAAGGUUAAUAGCC
RNAcentral lists this small nuclear RNA (154 nucleotides) under Erythranthe guttata (spotted monkey flower). Its description in RNAcentral is "Mimulus guttatus (spotted monkey flower) U4 spliceosomal RNA". It matches the Rfam family "U4 spliceosomal RNA". From Rfam's summary of the family: U4 small nuclear RNA (U4 snRNA) is a component of the major U2-dependent spliceosome. The structure of U4 snRNA from yeast and human has been reported. U4 snRNA presents a k-turn RNA motif in the 5p-SL related to recognition of Snu13 protein. The record is from Rfam by way of RNAcentral. Lineage: Eukaryota; Viridiplantae; Streptophyta; Magnoliopsida; Lamiales; Phrymaceae.